This 317-nucleotide ribosomal RNA is filed under the name uncultured fungus. RNAcentral describes it as "partial large subunit ribosomal RNA". It matches the Rfam family "Eukaryotic large subunit ribosomal RNA", at positions 40 to 350 of the family's 3401-position model. Lineage: Eukaryota; Fungi. The record is from RNAcentral.
AUAUCAAUAAGCGGAGGAAAAGAAACUAACAAGGAUUCCCCUAGUAACGGCGAGUGAAGCGGGAAGAGCUCAAAUUUGAAAUCUGGUCGUCUUCGGCGGCCCGAGUUGUAGUUUAGAGAAGCGCUUUCGGUGCCGAAUCACGUAUAAGUCCCUUGGGAAAGGGCACCGUGGAGGGUGAGAGUCCCGUCUAUGACGUGGUAACCCGGUGCCAUUUGAUACGCUCUCGAAGAGUCGAGUUGUUUGGGAAUGCAGCUCAAAAUGGGUGGUAAAUUCCAUCUAAAGCUAAAUACUGGCGAGAGACCGAUAGCGCACAAGUA